AUCUUUGCACAGAGGCAGUAUCACAGCCAAUGAGGUUUAUCUGAGGCGUGAUUAUUGCUAAUUGAAAUUAGAAUAAACAACCAUAAUUUGCAUGUAUGCAUCAAAAAUUUAAACUUUCUCAAUAUAUAGUUUUU
RNAcentral lists this small nuclear RNA (134 nucleotides) under Zalophus californianus (California sea lion). RNAcentral describes it as "U4 spliceosomal RNA (ENSZCAG00015017186.1)". It matches the Rfam family "U4 spliceosomal RNA". From Rfam's summary of the family: U4 small nuclear RNA (U4 snRNA) is a component of the major U2-dependent spliceosome. RNAcentral also lists the same sequence under 1 other name. Lineage: Eukaryota; Metazoa; Chordata; Mammalia; Carnivora; Otariidae. The record is from RNAcentral.